RNAcentral lists this ribosomal RNA (479 nucleotides) under uncultured bacterium. RNAcentral's name for it is "partial 16S ribosomal RNA". It matches the Rfam family "Bacterial small subunit ribosomal RNA", at positions 28 to 507 of the family's 1533-position model. The record is from RNAcentral.
GAUGAACGCUAGCGGGAGGCCUAACACAUGCAAGCCGAGCGGUAUUUGUUCUUCGGAACAGAGAGAGCGGCGCACGGGUGCGGAACACGUGUGCAACCUGCCUUUAUCUGGGGGAUAGCCUUUCGAAAGGAAGAUUAAUACCCCAUAAUAUAUUGAGUGGCAUCACUUGAUAUUGAAAACUCCGGUGGAUGGAGAUGGGCACGCGCAAGAUUAGAUAGUUGGUGAGGUAACGGCUCACCAAGUCAAUGAUCUUUAGGGGGCCUGAGAGGGUGAUCCCCCACACUGGUACUGAGACACGGACCAGACUCCUACGGGAGGCAGCAGUGAGGAAUAUUGGACAAUGGGUUAGCGCCUGAUCCAGCCAUCCCGCGUGAAGGACGACGGCCCUAUGGGUUGUAAACUUCUUUUGUAUAGGGAUAAACCUACUCUCGUGAGAGUAGCUGAAGGUACUAUACGAAUAAGCACCGGCUAACUCCGUG